RNAcentral lists this unclassified non-coding RNA (585 nucleotides) under Bombus terrestris (buff-tailed bumblebee). RNAcentral describes it as "misc RNA ENSBTSG00005022380.1". Lineage: Eukaryota; Metazoa; Arthropoda; Insecta; Hymenoptera; Apidae. The record is from RNAcentral.
UAACAUUUUAUGCAUGAGGGCACAACGCAAUGUUUGUAAUAACGAGCCAAUAACGAACAAUAGCAACAGUACUGCAAUUAUCAGUAGACUGCAUACAUAUGUGGUGAAAAGACUACUCUCUUGUGUUCCAUACAUUAUACUGAACCGCUUUAAUUUGUGCAACUAAAUUUCAAUGCGGACUGUGCUAUAAAAAAGGUGUCUUUGUACGUCUUUUUCUUCUCAAGUGGAAACAUAUGCGUUGUAUACACACAGUGAAGUGAAAAUUCAAAGUGAAUCACAUUCGAUUACGAUGUUCUAUUGUGUAAAACAAGGUUAAGGAGAAAAAAUGGAACAGAUAUUUAAGAAGGUGAAACUGUACGAUAUUUCGGAAAUUUAAAAAGAGCAUGGUACAUAUUCCGAAAGUUUGAAGCAGAAAGUGGAGAAACACGAAAUCUGUAAAAAUGUUCAAUUGUUGGUGUUCUAACACUAAUAAGAUAAGACAUAUUUAUUCUAAUAAUAUGUAAAUACAACUUUAAAGAUGACCAUAUGGUAGUCGUUGCAACUUUAAAUAAAAUAUUUAAAAAGCUUUAAAGUAUAUUGCUUAAA